RNAcentral lists this ribosomal RNA (460 nucleotides) under uncultured bacterium. RNAcentral describes it as "partial 16S ribosomal RNA". It matches the Rfam family "Bacterial small subunit ribosomal RNA", at positions 338 to 795 of the family's 1533-position model. The record is from RNAcentral.
CCUACGGGAGGCAGCAGUGAGGAAUAUUGGUCAAUGGUCGGGAGACUGAACCAGCCAAGCCGCGUGAGGGAUGAAGGUACUGAGUAUCGUAAACUUCUUUUGUCAGGGAACAAAUGCGGGGACGUGUCCCCGUAUGAGUGUACCUGAAGAAAAAGCAUCGGCUAACUCCGUGCCAGCAGCCGCGGUAAUACGGAGUGUGCUAGCGUUAUCCGGAGUUAUUGGGUUUAAAGGGUGGGCAGGCGGUCAUGCAAGUCAGCAGUGAAAGCCCGGGGCUCAACCCCCGAACCGCGGUGGAAACUGGUAGACUGGAGUUGGAGAGAGGUAUGCGGAAUGCGCGGUGUAGCGGUGAAAUGCGUAGAUAUCGGGAAGAACACCGGUGGCGAAGGCGGCCUGCUGGAUGGAAACUGACGCUGAGGCACGAAAGCGUGGGUAGCGAACAGGAUUAGAUACCCGAGUAGUC